Molecule: ribosomal RNA, 1175 nt
Filed under: Salmonella enterica subsp. enterica serovar Enteritidis
Lineage: Bacteria; Pseudomonadati; Pseudomonadota; Gammaproteobacteria; Enterobacterales; Enterobacteriaceae
Description: partial 23S ribosomal RNA
Rfam family: Bacterial large subunit ribosomal RNA
Source: RNAcentral
CGAAUGGGGAAACCCAGUGUGACUCGUCACACUAUCAUUAACUGAAUCCAUAGGUUAAUGAGGCGAACCGGGGGAACUGAAACAUCUAAGUACCCCGAGGAAAAGAAAUCAACCGAGAUUCCCCCAGUAGCGGCGAGCGAACGGGGAGGAGCCCAGAGCCUGAAUCAGCAUGUGUGUUAGUGGAAGCGUCUGGAAAGGCGCGCGAUACAGGGUGACAGCCCCGUACACAAAAGCGCAUGUGCUGUGAGCUCGAUGAGUAGGGCGGGACACGUGGUAUCCUGUCUGAAUAUGGGGGGACCAUCCUCCAAGGCUAAAUACUCCUGACUGACCGAUAGUGAACCAGUACCGUGAGGGAAAGGCGAAAAGAACCCCGGCGAGGGGAGUGAAAAAGAACCUGAAACCGUGUACGUACAAGCAGUGGGAGCACCCUUUGGGUGUGACUGCGUACCUUUUGUAUAAUGGGUCAGCGACUUAUAUUCUGUAGCAAGGUUAACCGAAUAGGGGAGCCGGAGGGAAACCGAGUCUUAAUUGGGCGUUAAGUUGCAGGGUAUAGACCCGAAACCCGGUGAUCUAGCCAUGGGCAGGUUGAAGGUUGGGUAACACUAACUGGAGGACCGAACCGACUAAUGUUGAAAAAUUAGCGGAUGACCUGUGGCUGGGGGUGAAAGGCCAAUCAAACCGGGAGAUAGCUGGUUCUCCCCGAAAGCUAUUUAGGUAGCGCCUCGUGAAUUCAUCUCCGGGGGUAGAGCACUGUUUCGGCUAGGGGGCCAUCCCGGCUUACCAACCCGAUGCAAACUGCGAAUACCGGAGAAUGUUAUCACGGGAGACACACGGCGGGUGCUAACGUCCGUCGUGAAGAGGGAAACAACCCAGACCGCCAGCUAAGGUCCCAAAGUCAUGGUUAAGUGGGAAACGAUGUGGGAAGGCCCAGACAGCCAGGAUGUUGGCUUAGAAGCAGCCAUCAUUUAAAGAAAGCGUAAUAGCUCACUGGUCGAGUCGGCCUGCGCGGAAGAUGUAACGGGGCUAAACCAUGCACCGAAGCUGCGGCAGCGAACGUAUCACUUAAAGCGAUUCAGCGGGUUACGAUUGACGGAGCGAAGCGACGUCAAAGCGUAUACAAAGUCGAGUCGGUUUAAGGAUACGUUCGUUGGGUAGGGGAGCGUUCUGUAAGCCUG